CCCUUAGAUGUCCUGGGCCGCACGCGUGCUACACUGACGCAUACAGCGAGCACUUUCCAGUUCCGAGAGGCUACUGGUAAUCAUCAAUAUGCGUCGUGAUGGGGAUAGAUCUUUGGAAUUCUGGAUCUUGAACGAGGAAUGCCUAGUAAUCGCAGGUCAUUAGCCUGCGAUGAUUAAGUCCCUGCCCUUUGUACACACCGCCCGUCGCUACUACCGAUUUCGAGUGGUCAGGUGAAUCUUUCGGACUGUGGGCGCUCUUGAGGUGUUCGCGGAAAGUCAGGUAAAUCUUAUCACUUAGAGGAAGUAAAAGUCGUAACA
RNAcentral lists this ribosomal RNA (318 nucleotides) under uncultured eukaryote. Its description in RNAcentral is "partial 18S ribosomal RNA". It matches the Rfam family "Eukaryotic small subunit ribosomal RNA", at positions 1470 to 1796 of the family's 1831-position model. The record is from RNAcentral.